UACGUAGGUGACAAGCGUUGUCCGGAUUUACUGGGCGUAAAGAGCGCGCAGGCGGUCGUUCAAGUCGAGUGUGAAAGCCCCCGGCUCAACUGGGGAGGGUCACUCGAUACUGAUCGACUCGAAGGCAGGAGAGGGUAGUGGAAUUCCCGGUGUAGUGGUGAAAUGCGUAGAUAUCGGGAGGAACACCAGUGGCGAAGGCGACUGCCUGGACCAGCACUGACACUGAGGCACGAAAGCGUGGGGAGCAAACAGGG
Molecule: ribosomal RNA, 254 nt
Filed under: uncultured bacterium
Lineage: Bacteria
Description: partial 16S ribosomal RNA
Rfam family: Bacterial small subunit ribosomal RNA
Source: RNAcentral